CCCCCACCCUGUUCAAUUUGAGAAUAUACUAUUAUCUUGUAAACGGUCCAGAUUCCCACCCCUAAACCAUAUAUAUUCUUCAAUGGGACGAUAAAACAAAUUAAAUGAAAUUAAAGGGAAGUCCCCGGGGGGUCAUCCCCACCACGUUCAAUUUGAGAAUGUGCUAUUAUCUUGUAAACAGUCCAGAUCCCCACCCCUAAACCAUAUAUAUUCUUGUAGGGGACAAUAAAACAAAUGAAAUGAAAUAAAAGUGAUGUCCCUAGGGGCUCACCCCACGCCCUCUUGUUUGAAAACUUGUAAACGGUCAACAUCCCCACCCCUAAACCAUAUCUAUUCUUGUAUGGGACAAUAAAACUAAUCAAAUGAAAUUAAAGGGAAGUUCCUGGGGGUUGCACCCCCCUCCCCCACCCUGUUCAAUUUGAGAAUGUGCUAUUAUCUUGUAAAUGGUCCAGAUCCCCACCCCUAAACCAUAUAUAUUCUUGUAGGGGACAAUAAAACAAAUGAAAUGAAAUAAAAGGGAAGUCCCGAGGAG
This 532-nucleotide long non-coding RNA is filed under the name Mytilus galloprovincialis (Mediterranean mussel). The record is from RNAcentral. Lineage: Eukaryota; Metazoa; Mollusca; Bivalvia; Mytilida; Mytilidae.